AGGGUCAUAGCUCAGUGGUAAAGUAUUUGUUUUGUAUGCAGAAGGUCCCAGGUUCAAUCCCUGGUGGUUCCA
Molecule: non-coding RNA, 72 nt
Organism: Zootoca vivipara (common lizard)
Lineage: Eukaryota; Metazoa; Chordata; Lepidosauria; Squamata; Lacertidae
Source: the annotation of a RefSeq genome assembly